This 863-nucleotide ribosomal RNA is filed under the name uncultured bacterium. Its description in RNAcentral is "bacterial SSU rRNA". It matches the Rfam family "Bacterial small subunit ribosomal RNA", at positions 28 to 878 of the family's 1533-position model. The record is from RNAcentral.
AUUGAACGCUGGCGGAAUGCUUUACACAUGCAAGUCGAGCGGCAGCGCGGGGCAACCUGGCGGCGAGCGGCGAACGGGUGAGUAACACAUCGGAACGUACCCUGUCGUGGGGGAUAGCCCGGCGAAAGCCGGAUUAAUACCGCAUACGACCUGAGGGUGAAAGCGGGGGAUUCUUGGGCAACCGAGGACCUCGCGCGAUAGGAGCGGCCGAUGGCGGAUUAGCUAGUUGGUGGGGUAAAGGCCUACCAAGGCGACGAUCCGUAGCGGAUCUGAGAGGACGGCCCGCCACACUGGAACUGAGACACGGUCCAGACUCCUACGGGAGGCAGCAGUGGGGAAUUUUGGACAAUGGGGGCAACCCUGAUCCAGCCAUUCCGCGUGAGUGAAGAAGGCCUUCGGGUUGUAAAGCUCUUUCGGCAGGAACGAAACGGUGGAGGCUAAUACCUUUCAUCAAUGACGGUACCUGAAGAAGAAGCACCGGCUAACUACGUGCCAGCAGCCGCGGUAAUACGUAGGGUGCGAGCGUUAAUCGGAAUUACUGGGCGUAAAGCGUGCGCAGGCGGCUCACUAAGACAGAUGUGAAAUCCCCGGGCUUAACCUGGGAACUGCGUUUGUGACUGGUGGGCUGGAGUGUGGCAGAGGGGGGUGGAAUUCCACGUGUAGCAGUGAAAUGCGUAGAGAUGUGGAGGAACACCGAUGGCGAAGGCAGCCCCCUGGGUUGACACUGACGCUCAUGCACGAAAGCGUGGGGAGCAAACAGGAUUAGAUACCCUGGUAGUCCACGCCCUAAACGAUGCCAACUAGGUGUUGGAGAAGGAGACUUCUUUAGUACCGUAGCUAACGCGUGAAGUGGCCGCCUGGGA